Long non-coding RNA from Homo sapiens (human), 1727 nucleotides. Ensembl annotates it as long intergenic non-protein coding RNA 1471. NCBI's taxonomy places the organism in Eukaryota, Metazoa, Chordata, Mammalia, Primates, Hominidae. The record is from Ensembl.
AGGACCAUCUUAGAGUGAGCUAAGUGCCUCAGGCGAGAUAAUGCAGAGGUGGGGGACAGAGUGGGUGGGGAGGGGAGCCGCCAUACAGUGGCCAGGACCAGCUUUGCCCAAGUGGUGGCAACCGCAUGACCACAGGAACGAUGGCGUGAGCCCCGUGGCAACCUGGAGGAAGGGCCAAGCCACUGGUGAAUAUGCUGCAAAAAAUAUGCUGGAACUUCUAUGAAUACCACAGGGUGUGAGAAGAAAACAUUAGAACUUCUAUUUUGUACCUGUGUUACUCCACAACAAGAAAGCAAUCAGCUUGAUCAAUGCCUACUGUAAAGACGGCACCGCCCUCCGGAGGUCCUUUCUCAGCCCUGGUGUUCGGACAGCCACAUCCCCUCGCAGCAGGGGGAGGCCUGAAGCAUAGAGGGGCCCAUGCAGGUCUAUUCUGUUUCAGCGAAUUGCCUGGGAAAUAAUCCAGGAUCCAUUUCGUGUGGUCAUCUUGUCUCCCUGGUCCCCUCCAGCCUUUCCUCAUCUUUUGUGACCUGGUCACUCUGGAAGGGCGCUGGCCAGUUAGUCCACAGGAUGGGCCUCCCCUGGGGCUUUUCUGAUGCUUCCUUAUGAUGGCACUGGCAUCCUGAGGGGGAGGACCACAGAGAGGAGGUGCUCCUCAUCACACCACAUGGGGGUCCAUGCACCAGUGCCACUGCUUUCCAGGGCUCUUCACCUUCAUCACUGGUGGAGGUGGCGUCUGCCAAGAAGCAGAAAGUUGAGGCUUAGAAGGUGCACGGCCCUACCUCUUCCGAGGUGCCCCUGCGGGCUGUCUACAGACCAGGCAGCACAUGCCUGAUAGCAGCUGCAUAAGGAAAAGCAGGAGCCAGCUCGUGCACAGUGGCCUCAAGUGUGCACUGGGCAUGUUCUCUGCCUCACCAUCCCUGUGUGACAGAUGAAGCAUGGCAAGCCAGGCUCCAGAGAAGCAUCCUGAGGACCAGUGUUCCUAGGGACCUCAUUCUUCUGACCUCAUUCCUACAACGUUUUGUCACUGCAAAGGAAAUCACCAAGGCCAGCAUGACAGCCCUCAACAGAAGCCAAGGCCAAGUCCUCGAACUUCCUAGUCUGCACAAUGUCUGUCUUUCAGACACUUCUGAUGAAACUGAAAAUGCCACCAGGGAGAAGCAGCUGAAUUCAGAGCUGGGUUUUGCACUGUGUGCAGCCUGAACCUUCCAAAGCUGGCCUCAGCAAUGUCUCCCUUCCUGCAUGCUCCUCUGCAAUGUGACCCUGACACUCCUCCAUCAAGAGGUGGGGCCCAACUUCCCUCUUCUUGAAGCUAGGUUCAUCUGUGACUUCUUCAACCCAUAAACUUUGGCAAAAGUGAUAUGCUGUGACUUCUGGGGUUUGGUUGUGAGUGACCAGGCAGCUGCUGCCUUGUUCAGAUAACACUUGUGCUGAGGUCGCUGAGCCACUGUGGAAGACAUCCAAGCUCCAUAAAGACAGGUCAAGUGCACAUGCUCCAGUCAACAGCCCAGCUGAGCCCUCAGCAUACAGCCAACACCAACUGCAAGCUGAGGGUGAAACAACUUGGAUGUCCAUUUGGAUGUCAAGCUGGACUUCAGAUGCCUGUGGUUGCAGCUCUGUCUGCAACUACAUGGAAGACGCCAUGUGAACCACCUAGUAGAGCCCUUCCUAGAAUUGUUGGCCCUCAGACUCUACAUGCAUAUCAAAAUGAAUGUUGUUUGAAGCCAUAA